CCUACGGGAGGCAGCAGUGAGGAAUAUUGGUCAAUGGACGAGAGUCUGAACCAGCCAAGUAGCGUGAAGGAUGACUGCCCUAUGGGUUGUAAACUUCUUUUAUAUGGGAAUAAAAUGUUCCACGUGUGGGAUUUUGUAUGUACCAUAUGAAUAAGGAUCGGCUAACUCCGUUCCAGCAGCCGCGGUAAUACGGAGGAUCCGAGCGUUAUCCGGAUUUAUUGGGUUUAAAGGGAGCGUAGGUGGAUUGUUAAGUCAGUUGUGAAAGUUUGCGGCUCAACCGUAAAAUUGCAGUUGAAACUGGCAGUCUUGAGUACAGUAGAGGUGGGCGGAAUUCGUGGUGGAGCGGUGAAAUGCUUAGAUAUCACGAAGAACUCCGAUUGCGAAGGCAGUUCACUGGACUGCAACUGACACUGAGGCUCGAAAGUGUGGGUAUCAAACAGGAUUAGAUACCCUUGUAGUC
RNAcentral lists this ribosomal RNA (460 nucleotides) under uncultured bacterium. RNAcentral's name for it is "partial 16S ribosomal RNA". It matches the Rfam family "Bacterial small subunit ribosomal RNA", at positions 338 to 795 of the family's 1533-position model. The record is from RNAcentral.